GAAACCAACAGGGAUUGCCCCAGUAACGGCGAGUGAAGCGGCAACAGCUCAAAUUUGUAAUCUGGCUCUCGGGCCCGAGUUGUAAUUUGUAGAGGAUGCUUUUGGUGCGGCGCCUUCCGAGUUCCCUGGAACGGGACGCCUUAGAGGGUGAGAGCCCCGUACGGUCGGACACCUAGCCUAUGUAAAGCUCCUUCGACGAGUCGAGUAGUUUGGGAAUGCUGGUCUAAAUGGGAGGUAAAUUUCUUCUAAAGCUAAAUAUUGGCCAGAGACCGAUAGCGCACAAGUAGAGUGAUCGAAAGAUGAAAAGCACUUUGAAAAGAGGGUUAAACAGCACGUGAAAUUGUUGAAAGGGAAGCGUUUGCGACCAGACUUUUUCCUGGCGGAUCAUCCGGCGUUCUCGCCGGUGCACUUCGCCAGGUCAAGGCCAGCAUCGGUUUUCGGAAGGGGACAAAAGCUUGGGGAACGUGGCUCCCUUCGGGAGUGUUAUAGCCCCUUGCAUAAUGCCCCCCUGGGGACCGAGGUUCGCGCAUCUGCAAGGAUGCUGCCGUAAUGGUCGUCAACGACCCGUCUUGAAACACGGACCAAGGAGUCGAACAUUUGUGCAAGUGUUAGGGUGUCAAACCCCUGCGCGUAAUGAAAGUGAACGGAGGUGAGAGCCCUCACGGGUGCAUCAUCGACCGAUCCUGAUGUUUUCGGAUGGAUUUGAGUAAGAGCAUAACUGUUCGGACCCGAAAGAUGGUGAACUAUGCGUGGGUAGGGUGAAGCCAGAGGAAACUCUGGUGGAGGCUCGCAGCGGUUCUGACGUGCAAAUCGAUCGUCAAACCUGCGCAUGGGGGCGAAAGACUUAUCGAACCAUCUAGUAGCU
This 865-nucleotide ribosomal RNA is filed under the name Cainia graminis. RNAcentral's name for it is "LSU rRNA". It matches the Rfam family "Eukaryotic large subunit ribosomal RNA", at positions 61 to 952 of the family's 3401-position model. Lineage: Eukaryota; Fungi; Ascomycota; Sordariomycetes; Xylariales; Cainiaceae. The record is from RNAcentral.